RNAcentral lists this unclassified non-coding RNA (328 nucleotides) under soil metagenome. RNAcentral describes it as "partial contains 5.8S ribosomal RNA, internal transcribed spacer 2, and large subunit ribosomal RNA". The stretch from base 1 to 120 matches the Rfam family "5.8S ribosomal RNA", at positions 35 to 154 of the family's 154-position model. The record is from RNAcentral.
GAUGAAGAACGCAGCGAAAUGCGAUAAGUAAUGUGAAUCGCAGAAUUCAGUGAAUCAUCGAAUCUUUGAACGCACAUUGCGCCCCUUGGUAUUCCGAGGGGCAUGCCUGUUCGAGCGUCAUUAUAACCCCUCAAGCUCAGCUUGGUGUUGGGGCCUGCCGCACGGGCAGCCCUUAAAAUCAGUGGCGGUGCCAUCUGGCUCUAAGCGUAGUAAUUCUUCUCGCUAUAGAGUCCCGGUGGAUGCUUGCCAUUAACCCCCAAUUUUCUAUGGUUGACCUCGGAUCAGGUAGGGAUACCCGCUGAACUUAAGCAUAUCAAUAAGCGGAGGA